GCACCGUCGCCGGGGCGCGGUCGGCGCUGACGCUGCCGAGCAGCCGCCCGGUUCCGGUCUCCAGGAUGGCGAUC
This 74-nucleotide transfer RNA is filed under the name Mycolicibacterium insubricum. RNAcentral describes it as "tRNA-Val". The record is from RNAcentral. Lineage: Bacteria; Bacillati; Actinomycetota; Actinomycetes; Mycobacteriales; Mycobacteriaceae.